CCUACGGGUGGCUGCAGUGGGGAAUAUUGCACAAUGGGCGCAAGCCUGAUGCAGCCAUGCCGCGUGUGUGAAGAAGGCCUUCGGGUUGUAAAGCACUUUCAGCGGGGAGGAAGGCGUUAAGGUUAAUAACCUUGGCGAUUGACGUUACCCGCAGAAGAAGCACCGGCUAACUCCGUGCCAGCAGCCGCGGUAAUACGGAGGGUGCAAGCGUUAACCGGAAUUACUGGGCGUAAAGCGCACGCAGGCGGUCUGUCAAGUCGGAUGUGAAAUCCCCGGGCUCAACCUGGGAACUGCAUUCGAAACUGGCAGGCUAGAGUCUUGUAGAGGGGGGUAGAAUGCCAGGUGUAGCGGUGAAAUGCGUAGAGAUCUGGAGGAAUACCGGUGGCGAAGGCGGCCCCCUGGACAAAGACUGACGCUCAGGUGCGAAAGCGUGGGGAGCAAACAGGAUUAGAUACCCGAGUAGUC
Molecule: ribosomal RNA, 465 nt
Filed under: uncultured Klebsiella sp.
Lineage: Bacteria; Pseudomonadati; Pseudomonadota; Gammaproteobacteria; Enterobacterales; Enterobacteriaceae
Description: bacterial SSU rRNA
Rfam family: Bacterial small subunit ribosomal RNA
Source: RNAcentral